Molecule: ribosomal RNA, 308 nt
Filed under: uncultured bacterium
Lineage: Bacteria
Description: bacterial SSU rRNA
Rfam family: Bacterial small subunit ribosomal RNA
Source: RNAcentral
AUUGAAUGCUGGCGGCAUGCCUUACACAUGCAAGUCGAACGGCAGCGCGGGGCAACCUGGCGGCGAGUGGCGAACGGGUGAGUAAUAUAUCGGAACAUACCCUAGAGUGGGGGAUAACGUAGCGAAAGUUACGCUAAUACCGCAUACGCACUAAGGUGGAAAGUGGGGGAUUCGCAAGAACCUCAUGCUCAUGGAGUGGCCGAUAUCUGAUUAGCUAGUUGGUGAGGUAAAGGUUCACCAAGGCAACGAUCAGUAGCUGGUUUGAGAGAACGACCAGCCACACUGGAACUGAGACACGGUCCGAGACU